UACGUAGGUGGCAAGCGUUAUCCGGAUUUAUUGGGUUUAAAGGGAGCGUAGGCGGCUUAAUAAGUCAGUGGUUAAAGGUAGCAGCUUAACUGUUUUACAUGCCACUGAUACUGCUAAGCUUGAGUUGACAGAAGGCAGAUAGAAUUUCUGGUGUAGCGGUGAAAUGCUUAGAUACCAGAAGGAAUACCGAUUGCGAAGGCAGUCUGCUGCAGUCACACUGACGCUGAGGCUCGAAAGUGCGGGGAUCAAACAGG
This 254-nucleotide ribosomal RNA is filed under the name uncultured bacterium. RNAcentral's name for it is "partial 16S ribosomal RNA". It matches the Rfam family "Bacterial small subunit ribosomal RNA", at positions 524 to 776 of the family's 1533-position model. The record is from RNAcentral.